GCCGGCAUAGCUCAGUGGUAGAGCAGCGCUUUUGUAAAGCGAAGGUCGUCGGUUCAAAUCCGUCUGCCGGCU
Candidatus Synechococcus spongiarum 142 is the source of this 72-nucleotide non-coding RNA. The record is from Rfam. Lineage: Bacteria; Bacillati; Cyanobacteriota; Cyanophyceae; Synechococcales; Synechococcaceae.